This 733-nucleotide long non-coding RNA is filed under the name Zonotrichia albicollis (white-throated sparrow). Its description in RNAcentral is "lncRNA (ENSZALG00000001042.1)". The record is from RNAcentral. Lineage: Eukaryota; Metazoa; Chordata; Aves; Passeriformes; Passerellidae.
GUUGUCAUCGUUGGGGCCGAUUUUGGGUUCUUCAUCUUUAUCGGGGCCAGUUUUGGGUUCGUCAUCUUCGUUGGGGUCAACGUUGGGUUCGUCAUCAUCAUCGUUGGGUCCAAUUUUGGGUUCUUCGUCUUCGUUGGGGUCAACGUUGGGUUCGUCAGCGUCGUUGGGUCCAAUUUUGGGUUCUUCAUCUUCGUUGGGUCCAAUUUUGGGUGCUUCGUCUUCAUCGGGGCCGAUUUUGGGUUCUUCGUCUUCGUUGGGGUCAACGUUGGGUUCUGCACAAUCAUUGAGUCCAAUUUUGGGUUCUUCGUCUUCAUUGGAUCCAACGUUGGGUUCGUCGUCUUCGUUGGGUCCAGUUUUGGGUUCUUCAUCCUCGUUGGGUCCAACGUUGGGUUCUUCGUCUUCAAAGAGGUCAAUGGGGCCGACGUUGGGUUCUUCAUCAACGUCAAGGUCAACGGGGUCAACGUUGGGUCCAACAUUGGGUUCAACACCAUCGAUGGGGUCAACGUUGGGUUCUUCAUCCAACUUGGCCCCACCAUUGGGUUCCUCAUUGGGUUCUCCUUCAACGUUGGGUUCAACGCCGUCAUUGGGUUCUUCCUCAACGUUGGGUUCUUCGUCAAAGUUGGGUCCAACAUUGGGUUCUUCAUCAACGUUGGGUUCAACGCCGCCGUUGGGUUCAACGUUGGGUCCAACAUUGGGUUCCUCUUCAGCCAUGGGUUCUUCUCCAACGUUGGGC